GCUGGGCAUGGUGGUGCACACCUGUAAUACUGGCAGCUUUGGAGGCUGAGAUAGGAGGAUCGUGAGUUCAAAGCCAGUCUCAGCAAUGGCGAGGUGCUAAGCAACUUAGCGAGACCCUGUCUUUA
Molecule: small RNA, 125 nt
Filed under: Marmota monax (woodchuck)
Lineage: Eukaryota; Metazoa; Chordata; Mammalia; Rodentia; Sciuridae
Source: RNAcentral